AGAGUUUGAUCCUGGCUCAGAACGAACGCUGGCGGCGCGUUUUAAGCAUGCAAGUCGGACGGUAGAGGGGAGCGAUCCUCUUGAGAGUGGCGAACGGGUGAGUAACACGUAGGUGAUCUGUCCUGGGUUUGGGGAUAGCCUGUGGAAACACGGGGUAAUACCGAAUACGCUCUGGGGGCUGUGGUCCUUGGAGGAAAGGCGCGGGUGCGUCGACCUGGGGGGAGCCUGCGGUCCAUUAGUUAGUUGGUGGGGUAAAGGCCUACCAAGGCGAUGAUGGAUAGCCGGCCUGAGAGGGUGUACGGCCACACUGGGACUGAGAUACGGCCCAGACUCCUACGGGAGGCAGCAGCUAAGAAUCUUCCGCAAUGGGCGCAAGCCUGACGGAGCGACGCCGCGUGGACGAUGAAGGCCGCAAGGUUGUAAAGUUCUUUUCUCUGUGAAGAAUAAGCGGGGGAGGAAAUGCCCCUGUGAUGACGUUAGCAGAGGAAUAAGCCCCGGCUAAUUACGUGCCAGCAGCCGCGGUAAUACGUAAGGGGCGAGCGUUGUUCGGAAUUAUUGGGUGUAAAGGGCGCGUAGGCGGCUUGGCAAGUCUGGUGUGUAAGGCUACAGCUUAACUGUAGUUAGGCGCUGGAAACUGCGAGGCUAGAGUGCAGGAGAGGGAGCUGGAAUUCCAGGUGUAGGGGUGAAAUCUGUAGAGAUCUGGAAGAACACCGGUGGCGAAGGCGAGCUCCUGGUCUGUAACUGACGCUGAGGCGCGAAAGCGUGGGGAGCGAACAGGAUUAGAUACCCUGGUAGUCCACGCUGUAA
This 807-nucleotide ribosomal RNA is filed under the name uncultured bacterium. RNAcentral describes it as "bacterial SSU rRNA". It matches the Rfam family "Bacterial small subunit ribosomal RNA", at positions 8 to 805 of the family's 1533-position model. The record is from RNAcentral.